UAAAUCUAGAUACUGAAUUAAUAUAGAAUUUAGUGCCUUUGUCACUAUCAAACGGAUUGUUCAAGAGGCUAGUUUGAGAGAGAAAAAGUGAGAGCUCUCAAAGAUGCUUAGGAAAUUGGAUCAUUAAGGAAACUAGCAUGAUUUAGGUAGUCUUACAAUGGGUUUCGUAAACUUGUUUACAAUGAUCAAACAAGUGUUUUCCAUCCUUUCAUUGUGUAGAUAUUUUGUCUUCCAAUUGAAAGAAAUCUUUCUCUAAUCUAAUUUUCAAUCUCUAGUACAUAAUUAACUUUAUCAGAGCAAACUUAGUGGUAGUUGUCUUUUAAACAACUUCAUUUAUCAAUCUCUUUCCACUUUGUUCUCUUUUUAGUCUUGCUUGUCACUCUUUUGUAGAAUGUAUAUCUGAUAUUUAAUUUGAAGUAAGAAGAGAUUUGUAGCUUAUUGAUUUGGAGAUAUUUAUUUCCUUAGGUGCAUUGUGUAUGACGGAGGUUAAUGGAUUUAUCAUGUAUCAUUUUAUUUAUUUAUGUAUUGUUUUUUAUUUCCAUAAAUUGUACCAUCCUGACACUGUUUACUGAAAGGCAUAAUUAUUUUUUCUUAAAAAUUUGUCUAAAUUCAAUUGCUCAAUUAAUCAAAACUUGAAACCUGUACAUAAGUCCUUAGUGGAGAUCUGCUAACUCACUUUUCAUUCACAAGAUCACUCUUCUCUGUGUCCUUUAUUAGUAUCUUUAUGACAUAAGUUGGACAAUUAAGGCAGUCAAUGAGCUAUUGGCAUUACUCUUAAAAGCAUGUAAAGGAAUUUUAGAGAUAGAAGCAUCAACAUUUUCAUAGUAUCUUUCUUGUUUAUGUUCCUUAUUAUUGGAGUGUCACUAAAAGAAAACUUCUUUAGAUAACAAAGACUAAAGAAACCAAGUUCUUAUUAUGAUGUUGUUUAGUGAGAAUUAAGUUUAAGAAAAGCAUUAUCGUCAGAAGAGGAAAUUGGGGUUGUUCAAUAUACAAAGUACAAUGAGAAUUCAAGACGAGAAUGCUAUCCAAUGAGACGGUGCCCAAUGGAGAAUCAAAGAUGGGAGAGACCAAUUAUGCAUAAUAUGGAGCAGUGUUAUGCCUCAUGUUUGUGUGAUUUUACUGCAAUUUAUUCUCUGGUUUGACUAUCAUCACUAAGUAUGCAUUAGAGCAAGGCUUGAGUACGUUCAUACUCUCUGUUUAUCGGCAUGUGAUUGCGGCUAUUGUUCUUUUUCCUUUUGCUAUUUUCUUUGAAAGGUACAUUUAUCCCAAUUGAUCGUAAUAACUAUUUUCUUCCUGUUUAUCAUAAGGCUGAAACAUUUUGUUUUAAUUCAUCAUCUGUUUUUGUAGAAAUGCACUCUCACUGCUGAAAUCUUCCAUCAUUUUGAAGAUUUUAAUACUUGGUCUCUUGGAGUAAUUAUCUGUAUAUAUGUUGAUUCUUUCUAUUGCUUGAUUAUGGAAUUAUGGUGUAAAAGAGUUUAAUCUUGAUGCAGGUCGGUAUUGGAUUAGAACUUGUUCUACUUAGGAAUGAAUUACACAUCUGCAGGCUUCAUUGCCAUCAUGACGAAUGCUCUUCCAGUUGUUACCUUCAUAUUGUCUUGGAUUCUAAGGUUAGCGAGAGAGUAAAACUGAAUGAAUGGAGGAGCAUUGCAAAGGUGGUAGGGGACUAUUCUCUCUGUUUCUGGUGCCAUGGUAAUGACACUAUACAAAGGCCCCAAAUUUUGGAUGCCGUGCACAAGGGAGGGAACUCUUGAUGAAAUGGAACGGGAAUCUCAUAAUUUGUUGAAAGGUUCUAUUUUCCUUGUUGUUGCUUGCAUUGGUUGGGCGAGCUUUUAUAACCUUCAAGUAGGCAUUUAACUCUGCCACGCAAGUAACAAUGCUAUAUACCGAUUAACAUUUGAGUAACUCCGUCAUUCUCUGUUUGCAGAGCUUCACUUUAAGAUCAUAUCCAUGGAAACUCACUUGCUCAUUCUUGAUAUGCACUGCAGGCUCCGUUGAAGGUUCCAUUGUGGCCCUCGUGGUUGAGAGAAAGAACUUAUCAGUUUAGUCAAUCGGUUGGGGCUGGUAGUUGUUUACUGUCGUCUACGCGGCUAUAAAUUGUUCGGCAUUGGGCUACUUUCUUCAGAGUUCAGUGAUUAAAGAACGUGGGCGGUGUUUGUCAAUGCAUACAGUCCUCUUGGCAGGGUCAUUGUUGCUGCUACCGGUUUACUGCUCGUUAGGGAGGAAUUGUUCACAGGCAGGGUGAUUGGAGCAGGAUUGAUUGUUUUCGGUCUUUAAUUGGUUGUUUGGGGGAAGAGUAGAGGUGAUGUAGGCUUGAAUAGGGAUGAAGAAAGAGCAAUUGAACUGAUAGUGUUGGUGGUGGUCAAUAGGCAUCACAUAAAUCAUAUUCUUCACAUAUUUUUAUUUAUUUAUUUUGGAUGUUCAAGAGAUCUUUAUAAUACAAAAUGAUUUCUUAGCA
Long non-coding RNA from Dioscorea cayenensis subsp. rotundata (Guinea yam), 2455 nucleotides. RefSeq lists it as uncharacterized. NCBI's taxonomy places the organism in Eukaryota, Viridiplantae, Streptophyta, Magnoliopsida, Dioscoreales, Dioscoreaceae. The record is from RefSeq and is a predicted model, not a curated record. The transcript has 4 exons.